Molecule: ribosomal RNA, 401 nt
Filed under: uncultured bacterium
Lineage: Bacteria
Description: bacterial SSU rRNA
Rfam family: Bacterial small subunit ribosomal RNA
Source: RNAcentral
GGGGGAUAUUGCGCAAUGGAGGAAACUCUGACGCAGCAACGCCGCGUGAAGGAAGAAGGUCUUCGGAUUGUAAACUUUUGUCUUCGGGGACGAUAAUGACGGUACCCGAGGAGGAAGCCACGGCUAACUACGUGCCAGCAGCCGCGGUAAUACGUAGGUGGCGAGCGUUGUCCGGAAUUACUGGGUGUAAAGGGUGCGUAGGCGGGUUGACAAGUCAGAUGUGAAAUCCCAUGGCUUAACUGUGGGACUGCAUUUGAAACUGUUGGCCUUGAGUGCAGGAGAGGUAAGCGGAAUUCCCAGUGUAGCGGUGAAAUGCGUAGAUAUUGGGAGGAACACCAGUGGCGAAGGCGGCUUACUGGACUGCAACUGACGCUGAUGCACGAAAGCGUGGGGAUCAAACA